CCCGUGGUCUAGCGGCUAUGACGUCGCCUUGACGUGGCGAAGGUCCCCGGUUCGAAACCCGAGGGA
Molecule: transfer RNA, 66 nt
Filed under: Candidatus Aenigmatarchaeota archaeon
Lineage: Archaea; Nanobdellati; Candidatus Aenigmatarchaeota
Description: tRNA-Val
Source: RNAcentral